RNAcentral lists this ribosomal RNA (301 nucleotides) under uncultured bacterium. RNAcentral describes it as "partial 16S ribosomal RNA". It matches the Rfam family "Bacterial small subunit ribosomal RNA", at positions 509 to 807 of the family's 1533-position model. The record is from RNAcentral.
CAGCCGCCGCGGUAAUACGAAGGGUGCAAGCGUUACUCGGAAUUACUGGGCGUAAAGCGUGCGUAGGUGGUGGUUUAAGUCCGUUGUGAAAGCCCUGGGCUCAACCUGGGAACUGCAGUGGAUACUGGGUCACUAGAGUGUGGUAGAGGAUAGUGGAAUUUCCGGUGUAGCAGUGAAAUGCGUAGAGAUCGGAAGGAACAUCUGUGGCGAAGGCGACUAUCUGGGCCAACACUGACACUGAGGCACGAAAGCGUGGGGAGCAAACAGGAUUAGAUACCCGCGUAGUCCCUGUCUCUUAUAC